This 354-nucleotide long non-coding RNA is filed under the name Olea europaea (common olive). RNAcentral's name for it is "long non-coding RNA (OEUR_LNC006152)". The record is from RNAcentral. Lineage: Eukaryota; Viridiplantae; Streptophyta; Magnoliopsida; Lamiales; Oleaceae.
CUCGUUGUGAUGUUUCAGAACUUUCGACUUGUUGAGACGUUGAUGCAUCAUUCGGUUGAUCAUCGGGAAAUGGACAUGUACCAAUAGGAAUGUCUUCUUGCGUACAACUUAUAAUGGCUUCCAUGUCUGAUUUCCAUUUAGAUAAUUUCUGUAGCGUAUUCUUAUUUUGUUCAUCCACAUAAUAUCGUAUGAAAUCUAAACUGGUAUUUACAUAAGAGUGCAUGGUCUGAUAAUGGUCUUCUUUCCAUUUUUGUUGUUGUUGGAAUAAUUGUUGCUCUUUCUCCAAAUGUGUGUUAAAAAAGUUGAUAAUGAGUUAUCCAUGUAGGAACGUAUAGUAGAUUGCAUAUAAUCCUC